RNAcentral lists this ribosomal RNA (1457 nucleotides) under Pseudo-nitzschia brasiliana. RNAcentral's name for it is "eukaryotic LSU rRNA". The stretch from base 744 to 1457 matches the Rfam family "Eukaryotic large subunit ribosomal RNA", at positions 1 to 794 of the family's 3401-position model. Lineage: Eukaryota; Bacillariophyta; Bacillariophyceae; Bacillariales; Bacillariaceae. The record is from RNAcentral.
CGAUCCAAGAUCAGUCUUCAUUGUGAAUUGUGCUAUCGCGGGCUUGGGUUUGUUUAACCCAUCCCGACGCCAACUUAACGCCGAAUCGAGCACUAGGAUCGAGCUUCGGCUCCAUCUAACGAUCUCUCCGGCAAACACCCGGUCGAAAGACUGGGUGCCCAAUACGUUUUUACGAUUGGUAACUGGAAAGAACCAAAUGACCUAAAGCAAAAAUGCAGUGGUUUUGGUGUCGUGUCCCUCUCGGGCCGACGCCACCCUGUACAUUAUACCUAAUACAUUACAACUUUCAGCGGUGGAUGUCUAGGUUCCCACAACGAUGAAGAACGCAGCGAAAUGCGAUACGUAAUGCGAAUUGCAAGACCUCGUGAAUCAUUAAGAUUUUGAACGCACAUUGCGCUUUCGGGAUUUUCCCGGUAGCAUGCUUGUCUGAGUGUCUGUGGAUCCCACUCAGCGCUGUUGCCUUUCUUUUGGCAUCGGCUGCUGGUUGUUUUGGCUUUGACCGCCUCGUUUGCGGUCUCUGCUCAAGUUCUACGGUUACCGUACGUGCAUAGAUCUAGAACCCUCAACCUGUCUUGCUCAAGACGGCGUUGACACUCUUGUCUAUCUCUGGUAGAAGUUGGCUCGUUCCGAUUUUUUUCUAGAGUUUGUUUAGGAGUCGUCAUGCUAAAGCCGUUUCUGUAGCUUUGUUGGUGGAGCGGACCUAGGUCUAGCUAUGGCAUGUAAUGUCGUGGCUAUCCAAUUCCGGAUCUCAGAUCAAGCAAGAGGACCCGCCGAAUUUAAGCAUAUAAUUAAGCGGAGGAAAAGAAACUAACUAGGAUUCCCUCAGUAACGGCGAGUGAAGCGGGACUAGCUCACGAUGUGAAUCUGCGCUUUAUUGGCGCCGAAUUGUGGUCUGUAGACUUUGACGUUAUCUGCCGGGCCAAGUUCCUUGGAAAAGGACAGCUGAGAGGGUGAGACUCCCGUCCGCCUGGUUGAGUGAGUCAUUUGUCAACGAGUCGAGUUGUUUGGGAUUGCAGCUCUAAUUUGGUGGUAAAUUCCAUCUAAAGCUAAAUAUUGGUGGGAGACCGAUAGCGUACAAGUACCGUGAGGGAAAGAUGCAAAGAACUUUGAAAAGAGAGUUAAAGAGUACCUGAAACUGCUGAAACGGAAGCGAAGGAAACCAGUGUUUGUUUGUUCAUAUUUCCCUGGCCACUUGUGGUUUGGGCGCUGUGAGCUUGCGUGAGUUUGGGUUGGUUGAUCCCUUUGGAAGAGCGCAGUCAGAGUUGAUGUCUGUUGCUAGCACUGGGUUUGACUGAUGCAGACGAAAUGGUUUUCUUUACCCCGUCUUGAAACACGGACCAAGGAGUCUAACAUAUGUGCGAGUACAGGGGUGUCAAACCCCGGUGCGUAAUGAAAGUGACAGUGGUUGGAAUUUUGCACAAUCCGCCGGCCUCAAUCCUUCGGGAGAACGGUCUGAG